Molecule: non-coding RNA, 1213 nt
Organism: Danio rerio (zebrafish)
Lineage: Eukaryota; Metazoa; Chordata; Actinopteri; Cypriniformes; Danionidae
Source: RefSeq, a predicted model, not a curated record
AUUUUUUGAGAAGUGCACAUCAGUGACGGCGACGGCCACAUCGAAGGGCUAUGCGUCAGCGCCAUAGCAUACGCCGGCGUUUGACGCAGAAGUAUAAAUCAGCCUUAAGUCAAGAACCAAAUGAAGCACCAGAGUACAGAUUAUGGAGGUAUCUGAAGUUGAACUAACUGGAAGCAGGGAACCAUACUAAUAAAGUUCCUUAAGGUAAAAGCACCUGCUUUAUUUUGAUAGGAAGUAUUUUUUUAUAGAGUUCUAUUGUUUUAUUCCUAUUCUAAUUUUAUUUUCUUCAUAUACUGAAUGGAAGUCAUUCAAAUUUCACAACAAAUGAUUUGCAGAUUGAAUAUAAAAUAUAAUGACAUUUUAAUGCAUUAUUUCUUUUGGUUAUUCUUUACAUCUAUAUAUGGGCAAGUAUUUAAUCAAUGAAAAUAAUUUUUAACAACUUAACUAAACAAAUUACUCUGUUGGACCCUAGCAAAAUCCUCAAACUAACACACACUCUUGUGAAUGCAUUCUCACAUUCAUACACUCAAAAACACACAUUCAUACAACAGUCUGUCUCAGUCUGACUCACACACAACAUCCUCUCUCACAGAUUUUUCUAGCAAACCUCCACCACUAGCUUGUCCUUUUAUGCUGCUUUUAUUUCAAACAUUUUAUAGCAUGAUAUAGUCCAGGUUUUUAUCACUAAGUAUUUUUUUUUCCAUUCAGCAGUUUCCUUGUAAAGAUGAACCCAGGGAAGGAUCGAAAGUGGAGAAGACCAGAUCAAGAAAGACUACAUCAAGAUCUGCGGUCAGUUCAAAGGUACUUUCACUAAUUACCAAGAUUUCAGACUAUGAAUUGAUGGAGAAAACUUUGAGUGUCAGAUCUUCCUACAUCGCCUAGCAAAAAUUCUUCCCAGUGUCUUGUAGUAGAAGUGAUGCAGUCAAUCGAGUUUACAUUAUUUCGUAAAUUGCUUUCUGAUUUAAUAAAAAAUAUAUUAACCAAACUUGAUUAAUGUAACAAUUUUGAUGAAAAGGGCAUGUUUUACUAGAGCUUUUAGCACAAAGGCACCCCCAACUUGGAAUAUUGCUGUGUCUGACGUCACGGGGUUGGUAUGCUGGAAAAGUUUUUGAAUGAGGAUGUUUUGCAUUGGACUGUUUUUUUUGGCUUUGACCCUUGCUUGCCCCUGACCUCACUCUUGGACUGCCCUGUUGGAUUUUCAGUUUAUUUAAUU